GACGAACGCUGGCGGCGUGCUUAACACAUGCAAGUCGAGCGGUAAGGCCCUUUCGGGGGUACACGAGCGGCGAACGGGUGAGUAACACGUGGGUGACCUGCCCUCAGCUCUGGGAUAAGCCUGGGAAACUGGGUCUAAUACUGGAUAUGACUCCACGGUGCAUGUCGUGGGGUGGAAAGCCUUGUGCGGCUGAGGAUGGGCCCGCGGCCUGUCAGCUUGUUGGUGGGGUGANGGCCUACCAAGGCGACGACGGGUAGCCGGCCUGAGAGGGCGACCGGCCACACUGGGACUGAGACACGGCCCAGACUCCUACGGGAGGCAGCAGUGGGGAAUCUUGCGCAAUGGGCGAAAGCCUGACGCAGCGACGCCGCGUGAGGGAUGACGGCCUCGGUU
This 393-nucleotide ribosomal RNA is filed under the name uncultured bacterium. RNAcentral describes it as "bacterial SSU rRNA". It matches the Rfam family "Bacterial small subunit ribosomal RNA", at positions 28 to 424 of the family's 1533-position model. The record is from RNAcentral.